GUUUCUAGGGUGUCAAAUACAGCACAUUAGAUUUUCAUUCUAAAGGAAUAAAUACAAAUUUAUUAGAAAUA
Molecule: transfer RNA, 71 nt
Filed under: Alviniconcha hessleri
Lineage: Eukaryota; Metazoa; Mollusca; Gastropoda; Provannidae
Description: tRNA-Glu
Rfam family: tRNA
About the family: Transfer RNA (tRNA) molecules are approximately 80 nucleotides in length.
Source: RNAcentral